This 385-nucleotide ribosomal RNA is filed under the name Bacillus sp. (in: firmicutes). RNAcentral's name for it is "bacterial SSU rRNA". It matches the Rfam family "Bacterial small subunit ribosomal RNA", at positions 1046 to 1437 of the family's 1533-position model. The record is from RNAcentral. Lineage: Bacteria; Bacillati; Bacillota; Bacilli; Caryophanales; Bacillaceae.
UGGUUGUUGUCAGCUCGUGUCCUGAGAUGGAGGUUUAAGUCCCGCAACGAGGCCAACCCUUUGAUUUUAGUCCCAAUCAUUAAGUUGGGCACUUUAAGGUGACUGCCGGUGACAAACCGGAGGAAGGUGGGGAUGACGUCAAAUCAUCAUGCCCCUUAUGACCUGGGGUACACACGUGCUACAAUGGGUCGUACAAAGAGGUGCAAGACCGCGAGAUGGAGCUAAUCUCUCAAAUCCUCUUUCAUUCGGAAUGUAGGCUGCAAAUCGCCUACAAGAAGUGGAUUUACUUUAAUCGGGAUCGACACUUGCGUUGAAUCGUUCCCCGGUCCCGUACACACCGCCCGUCACACCCCGAGAGUUUGUAACACCCGAAGUCGGUAGGGUA